AAUGAACGUUGGCGGCGUGGAUUAGGCAUGCAAGUCGCGCGAGAAGCCCCUUCGGGGGUGGACAGCGGCGGAAGGGAGAGUAACGCGUGGUUACGUGCCCUCGAGACCGGGAUAGUAACGGGAAACUGUUAGUAAUACCGGAUAACAUCUUCGGAUCAAAGGUGUGAUUCCGCUCGAGGAUCGGACCGCGUACUAUUAGCUUGUUGGCGGGGUAAUGGCCCACCAAGGCUGCGAUGGUUACCGGGUGUGAGAGCAUGGCCCGGCUCACUGGGACUGAGACACUGCCCGGACACCUACGGGUGGCUGCAGUCGAGAAUCUUCGGCAAUGGACGAAAGUCUGACCGAGCGACGCCGCGUGCGGGAUGAAGGCCCUCGGGUUGUAAACCGCUGUCAGUUGGAAGGAAAUCCAUAGGGGUUCUCUCCUAUGGUUGACCGAUCUUCAGAGGAAGGACGGGCUAAGUUCGUGCCAGCAGCCGCGGUAAGACGAACCGUCCGAACGUUAUUCGGUAUCACUGGGCUU
This 520-nucleotide ribosomal RNA is filed under the name uncultured bacterium. RNAcentral describes it as "bacterial SSU rRNA". It matches the Rfam family "Bacterial small subunit ribosomal RNA", at positions 28 to 561 of the family's 1533-position model. The record is from RNAcentral.